AGCAGCCGCGGUAAUUCCAGCUCCAAUAGCGUAUAUUAAAGUUGUUGCAGUUAAAAAGCUCGUAGUUGAAUUUCGGGGUUAGUAAGUUGGUCAUGCCUUCGGUAUGUACUGGCUUUACUGAUUCCUCCUUCUUGACGAACCGUGAUGUCAUUAAUUUGGUGUUGCGGGAAAUCAGGACUGUUACUUUGAAAAAAUUAGAGUGUUUAAAGCAGGCUAACGCUUGAAUACAUUAGCAUGGAAUAAUGAAAUAGGACGUUAAUCCUAUUUUGUUGGUUUCUAGGAUCGACGUAAUGAUUAAUAGGGAUAGUUGGGGGCAUUAGUAUUCAAUUGUCAGAGGUGAAAUUCUUGGAUUUAUUGAAGACUAACUACUGCGAAAGCAUUUGCCAAGGAUGUUUUCAUUAAUCAAGAACGAAAGUUAGGGGAUCGAAGACGAUCAGAUACCGUCGUAGUCUUAACCAUAAACUAUGCCGACUAGGGAUCGGAUGAUGUUAAUUCUUUAAUGACUCAUUCGGCGCCUUACG
Molecule: ribosomal RNA, 521 nt
Filed under: uncultured Glomus
Lineage: Eukaryota; Fungi; Glomeromycota; Glomeromycetes; Glomerales; Glomeraceae
Description: SSU rRNA
Rfam family: Eukaryotic small subunit ribosomal RNA
Source: RNAcentral